GCGGUCGUGGCGGAAUUGGCAGACGCACCAGCUUGAGGGGCUGGCGGGGGCAACCUCGUGAGGGUUCGAGUCCCUCCGUCCGCACCA
RNAcentral lists this transfer RNA (87 nucleotides) under Patescibacteria group bacterium. RNAcentral describes it as "tRNA-Leu". It matches the Rfam family "tRNA". From Rfam's summary of the family: Transfer RNA (tRNA) molecules are approximately 80 nucleotides in length. Their secondary structure includes four short double-helical elements and three loops (D, anti-codon, and T loops). The record is from RNAcentral. RNAcentral also lists the same sequence under 1 other name.